GAUGAACGCUAGCGACAGGCUUAACACAUGCAAGUCGAGGGGCAGCAUGAACUUAGCUUGCUAAGUUUGAUGGCGACCGGCGCACGGGUGAGUAACGCGUAUGCAACUUACCUAUCAGAGGAGAAUAGCUCAUCGAAAGAUGAAUUAAUGCUCCAUAAAACAGGGGUCCCGCAUGGGAAUAUUUGUUAAAGAUUCAUCGCUGAUAGAUAGGCAUGCGUUCCAUUAGGCAGUUGGCGGGGUAACGGCCCACCAAGGCGACGAUCAGUAGCCGACCUGAGAGGGUGACCGGCCACAUUGGGACUGAGACACGGCCCAA
RNAcentral lists this ribosomal RNA (316 nucleotides) under uncultured bacterium. RNAcentral's name for it is "bacterial SSU rRNA". It matches the Rfam family "Bacterial small subunit ribosomal RNA", at positions 28 to 334 of the family's 1533-position model. The record is from RNAcentral.